GUGCCAGCCGCCGCGGUAACCCCAGCGCCACAAGUGGCAACCACAUUUACUUGGUCUAAAGCGUCCGUAGCUGGUUAUGUAAAUCUUUUGUGAAAUUGUCAAGCUUAACUUGACAGCGCGCAAAAGACACUGCAAAACUUGAGACCGGGAGAGGUUAGGAGUAUUUCUUGGGGACCGGUAAAAUGGGAUAAUCCAAGAAAGACUACCAGUGGCGAAGGCGCCUAACCAGAACGGUUCUGACAGUGAGGGACGAAGGCUAGGGGAGCGAACCGGAUUAGAUACCCUUGUAGUCC
RNAcentral lists this ribosomal RNA (293 nucleotides) under uncultured bacterium. Its description in RNAcentral is "partial 16S ribosomal RNA". It matches the Rfam family "Archaeal small subunit ribosomal RNA", at positions 455 to 747 of the family's 1478-position model. The record is from RNAcentral.